Molecule: ribosomal RNA, 253 nt
Filed under: uncultured bacterium
Lineage: Bacteria
Description: partial 16S ribosomal RNA
Rfam family: Bacterial small subunit ribosomal RNA
Source: RNAcentral
UACGGGGGGAGCAAGCGUUGUUCGGAGUUACUGGGCGUAAAGCGUGCGUAGGCGGUUUUGUAAGUUUGGUGUGAAAUCUCCCGGCUCAACUGGGAGGGUGCGCCGAAAACUGCAAGGCUGGAGUGUGGGAGAGGUAGGCGGAAUUCCUGGUGUAGCGGUGAAAUGCGCAGAUAUCAGGAGGAACACCGGUGGCGAAGGCGGGUCUCUGGGCCGAUACUGACGCUGAGGAGCGAAAGCGUGGGGAGCGAACAGG